GACUGCGCUUCUGCUCAUUAGGACUACGCCGCCCACUGUGGCCGCCGCUUUUGCUCGCUCCGACCACAUGGCCGCCGCUUCCGCUCGCUUCAAAGACGCUGCCGGUUCCGCCGGGGCCCCGCGGAAAGCGCCGUCUCGGCUUCCGUAGAGGCGCGCACACCAAUAGCGUCAUAGCGACUGGCUGCAGCACCACCCCCUCUUAAAGGGGCCGCGGCUCGGACUGCACAGAAGCAGCUUCGCGUUGCGGCACAGGCUGAGCCUCUGCCCAGCCCCAGCGGUAGACCAAAGAGAGGACUCUAGAAACCUGAACCCGCCCCCCUUCAGCUCCCCACUCCCUGGCAAAGGGCUCCAGCUGCUCUGGAUGAUGAGGAAGCCGGGCACCUCUGACAAGGGUCUUGCAUGCAGGCUGGAGUGCGGUGACACGGUCACAGCUCACUGCAACCUUGACCUACUGGAUUCAAGGGCCUUCCCACCUCAGCUUCUCAAGUAAUUGGGACCACAGCUGUUGGCUGGACACAGUGGCUUACAUCUGUAAUUCCGGAAUUGGGGAGGCUAAGGUGGGUGAAGUGCUUGAACCCAGAAGUUUGAGACCAGCCUAGGCGACAUGGCAAAACCGAGUCUCUACAUCUCGACACAAACAAACAAACCUGAAAUUAGCCGGUCAUCUGCAGUCCCAGCUAUGUACUCAGGAAACUAAGGCCAGCGGAUCUGUUGAGUCCUGGAGAUCGAGGCUGCAGUGAGCCACGAUCAUACCACUGCACUCCAGCCUGGGCAACAGAAAGAGACCCUGUCUCAAAAAAUAAUAAAGUACAUAAAUAAAUAAAUAAACUGUUGAUUGGGAGCCGUGUAUGCACCAGGCCCUAAGCGGGGCAUGAUGAGAUGGGAUGAAGAGUCUGGAGACUUGGGAAAGGCUGCACCUCUGGAGGGAGGCCGCAGCUUCUCCUUCAUCAAAGAGGUCC
RNAcentral lists this long non-coding RNA (959 nucleotides) under Callithrix jacchus (white-tufted-ear marmoset). Its description in RNAcentral is "lncRNA (ENSCJAG00000070899.1)". Lineage: Eukaryota; Metazoa; Chordata; Mammalia; Primates; Cebidae. The record is from RNAcentral.